GACGAACGCUGGCGGCGUGCUUAAUACAUGCAAGUCGAACGGAAAGGCCCUGCUCUUGUGGCUUGCUCGAGUGCCGAACGGGUGAGAAACACAUGUGUAACCCGUCCUUGACAUUGGGAUAACUUCAGGAAACUGGGGCUAAUACAGGAUAGAAUCUCCUGCUGCAUGGUGGGGGUUGGAAAGUUUCGGCGGUCGUGUAUCGACUCGCAGCUUAUCUGCUUAUUGGUGGGGUAGUGGCUUACCAAGGUUUUGACGGGUAGACGACCUGAGAGGGUGACCGGCAACAUUGGGACUAAGGCACGGCCCAGUCUCCUAAAGUAGGCAGUGGUGGGGACUCUGCAACAACGGGCCGGAGCGUGAACCCGCGACACAGCGAUCGGGAUGACGGACUACGGGUUCUAACCAACUUUCGCAUGUGACGUACCGUGAGUGACGGUAACCGGUAAGAAAGCAACGGCUAACUACGUG
This 468-nucleotide ribosomal RNA is filed under the name uncultured bacterium. RNAcentral describes it as "partial 16S ribosomal RNA". It matches the Rfam family "Bacterial small subunit ribosomal RNA", at positions 28 to 507 of the family's 1533-position model. The record is from RNAcentral.